Long non-coding RNA from Anopheles arabiensis, 343 nucleotides. RefSeq lists it as uncharacterized. The record is from RefSeq and is a predicted model, not a curated record. Lineage: Eukaryota; Metazoa; Arthropoda; Insecta; Diptera; Culicidae. The transcript is spliced from 2 exons.
UACGAGUGCGCCGAAGCACAUCGCUGGGCAAGCAGGGUGACACAGGAGGUCGAGAUUUUACACGGUCGGGAUUUUUUCACCGCAACUACAGGAUGCAGAUUUUGGGCUGAACUGCAUAUACCCACAGCAAAACAGCAGGCCUAAACGUUUUACUAAGAAGCAGAAACCACUGGAACCAGUAUCGUUGCAACACAUAAAGCAAUCGGCCACACGAUCCGAGCUACGGAACUGGAUAUUCGAUUAUAGCAACCAUAGCAUUCAUCUGGUGUAUGUGUGUUUGUGUGUAGCACAUGCAGACAAAGCGUAACCAGUUGGACUGAGUUUUGACUGUACCAAAGAAAAA